Micropterus salmoides (largemouth bass) is the source of this 391-nucleotide long non-coding RNA. RefSeq lists it as uncharacterized. The transcript is spliced from 2 exons. Lineage: Eukaryota; Metazoa; Chordata; Actinopteri; Centrarchiformes; Centrarchidae. The record is from RefSeq and is a predicted model, not a curated record.
GACAUCAAGCAUUUAUCCAGUAAAGUAUCGCCAACAGACAGCACUCAAGUUACAAGGCAGCAAACAGGGACUGGGACGUCCGAGGAUGCAAACACAACAUGGCCUUGUCAGGGAAAAUUGAAACAGAACACACGAUACAUUUAACAAUUGCAGGCACAGGAAAGGCAGGUUGAUUAAUUAUUACACCCCUGUCUACUGCUUGAGAUGCAGCCCACAGGGAAAGGAACAAGAAUGGAAGUUGGAAAUAGGCCUUUGAGCGCAGCCGGGGUUUGAAUGGAAACAACUUGGAAGCACAAAUACCAAACCCAACUGCUGAAAGUAAAAGUUUAAUUCAAUGAACUUUAGGCCUUUUCAGUUCACAAAAGAGCACCAUUAAAGUAAUGAUAAAUCA